RNAcentral lists this transfer RNA (73 nucleotides) under Deltaproteobacteria bacterium. Its description in RNAcentral is "tRNA-Lys". It matches the Rfam family "tRNA". From Rfam's summary of the family: Transfer RNA (tRNA) molecules are approximately 80 nucleotides in length. Their secondary structure includes four short double-helical elements and three loops (D, anti-codon, and T loops). Lineage: Bacteria; Pseudomonadati; Myxococcota; Myxococcia. The record is from RNAcentral.
GGGCCGGUAGCUCAGUUGGUAGAGCAUCUGACUUUUAAUCAGAGGGUCCCGGGUUCAACCCCCGGCCGGCUCA